UUCUAUGUCUCUUUCGUUUUCUGUAAAAGAUCGAAUUGCGCUUUUGGUUCUAUCUAGAUCUGUAUAUUAUUUGGAUGGUCCUGUUGAGCAUGCGGUCGUGAUUGUAUGACUGCUACACUCUCGUAACAUUGUCACUCGUCACGGCGUUAUGUACGUAAGAGUCGCUAUCUUCGGCAUCUGGUACCGACCGAUGGACUCUCAUUCCACUUUGUCCCAAUCUAACCAAAUUAACCUUCACCUCACACGCCUGUGAUUUACCUCCUGACUCUUGCAAAUGCGGUUUAGACAGCAGUUGUGCAUGCUUCAUCUAUGUAUCACCUUCAAGAGGAAUCUUAUUCUGGAUCAUCUUGCAAGCAAUCUCGAACAAGUAAUCCAAGCACUCUGCUUGAGUCUUCGCUUGUUCCCAGGUGUUACCUAUGGGUCACAUCAGUUAUCGAGGCCGACUAAUAUCAGUUAAUGCCACUUACCCCAAACAUAGACACCAUGCCUUCUGACCAAAAUGGCGGGCGCGUUUGGGUACUUGGUCAUUGCCUGAUAGAUCCAUGUCAAUGCAAUUCAAUCAUUCAAGGCAUGGUGUUUACUUACAGCAGCCAUGCCCUCCGUCAGAUCUUCUUCAAACGCCGUGUUGUCAAUUAUGGGUACUUCGAGGGUUUCGAAAAACUUCAGUGUCUUUCCAACACCGCCCAAACGGACACCCUUAAUCAUCUCUUGGUGGGAAAUUCGGAAGCUAGGAGCAUCGCGAGGAAGAAGGAGGGUCAGAAGUACUAUGAAAAGUCAGCAUAUGAGGCACUAUUACUGUAGUUGGGGGACUUACCGG
Molecule: small RNA, 817 nt
Filed under: Cryptococcus neoformans H99
Lineage: Eukaryota; Fungi; Basidiomycota; Tremellomycetes; Tremellales; Cryptococcaceae
Description: Cryptococcus neoformans var. grubii H99 hypothetical RNA
Source: RNAcentral